Molecule: long non-coding RNA, 1212 nt
Filed under: Macaca mulatta (Rhesus monkey)
Lineage: Eukaryota; Metazoa; Chordata; Mammalia; Primates; Cercopithecidae
Description: lncRNA (ENSMMUG00000042850.2)
Source: RNAcentral
GUCAAGAGGAGAUGACAGUCUGUUAAUUUAUGUAAAGUAUAACCAACCAGAUGUUCUAGAAAAUGCUUCAGUCAGAGAUAAAGAAAAUCCUGUUUUUAAUAAACAGGUGAUGACUGCAUGUUGUGACAAAAAUAUGUUUUCCAGGAAGUCUUCUAGAACUCAGCAUAGACUCGAGAGCCUAGACUAGAAUCCAGGAAGCCACUGGGUGGCUGAAGUAGCCUUCCAUAGGAUGCCAGGAGCCAGGCAUCGGCUGGCUGCUCUGCUGGAGACGUUGGGAAGUGAGCUGCCGCUUAAGUUCUUCCUGACUAGUUUACAACAAAAUUAAGCAACCAACAGAUGGGUCUCAAAUGUGCAAUUCUAGCUGUGGAAUUCAGCUGUGCCAGUUACCACCACUCCGAAGAUGCUUUAGCUCUAUAGCAGUCAUAAGGUACAUGGUUUACUCAGGCCCAGAGGAGAGAGCUGAUAUAAAGAAACUGUGCCACACAGUCAGAUGGGGUCCAAAGGAAACAAUAGCACUGAGUGAUGAGUAUUGAAGAAGAAAUCUAAAGAAAGAAUGUCUUAUCAGCUGACCACAAAGCUGCCGCCUUCUACCUGGCCACAUUGCUUACCGAUUGUACUGCGUCUCUCUUGGAUGGAAAUGAUACACCAAUCACUCAUAAGUAAAUAAUUUCCUUCUAAAUCACAGGCCUACACCUGAGGUGGCUGCCACAGGUGCAGCCUGUUUAGACCAGCAAUUAUAUUUACUCCAUGAUGACAGAGAACAGGAAAGAUGUAUCAUGUACUGCAUUUGCUUCUGCUCUUUAUAAAGAAAUAGACCUCUCUAUAUUAGCAUUACAUAUGAUUGUCUCAUCCACUUAUCGGCAAUUUAAUAUACCACAGACAACAUGGGUUAAAAGCAAAGUAAGUUUCAAACACUAACCUUAGUUUACUCAUAAAUACUUCACUUCUACAAACUUUGUUUGUUCAAGCUAUGGUUCUAUACAGAUUGGCAAGUCAUUCUUCAUUUUAACUUUCUGUGGUUAUAGGCCCUUCUAGACCAGAGAUCCCUGAGUUUACUGCUGCCUUUUCUAGAUGUUUUCCUGAGUACAAAUGUGAGCUUAUUGUUGACACCAGUCUCUUUCUCUUUGAGAAUUGGUUUUUCCCUGAUGGCUCUGGUCUAAGAGCCUGGUCUUAGAAAUUUCUUAGCCCUCUGGUCUAAGAAAUCCACUCUGG